This 521-nucleotide ribosomal RNA is filed under the name Ectinorhynchus castaneus. RNAcentral describes it as "partial 16S ribosomal RNA". It matches the Rfam family "Bacterial large subunit ribosomal RNA", at positions 1809 to 2602 of the family's 2925-position model. The record is from RNAcentral. Lineage: Eukaryota; Metazoa; Arthropoda; Insecta; Diptera; Therevidae.
AAAAACAUGUCCUUUAGAAUUUAAUUUAAGGUCUAGCCUGCCCACUGAUAAUUUAAAUGGCCGCAGUAUUUUAACUGUGCAAAGGUAGCAUAAUCAUUAGUCUUUUAAUUGAAGGCUUGUAUGAAUGGUUGGACGAAAUAUUAACUGUUUCAUAAAAAUUUAUUUAGAAUUUUAUUUUUUAGUUAAAAAGCUAAAAUUUUUUUAAAAGACGAGAAGACCCUAUAGAUCUUUAUAAUUUAUUUAUUAUAGUUAUAUAGAUUAUUUAAAUUAUGAUUGUAUAAGUUAUUUUGUUGGGGUGACAUUAAAAUUUAAUAAACUUUUAAUAAAUUUUUACAUUAAUUUAUGAUUAAUUGAUCCAUUAUUAAUGAUUAUAAAAUUAAGUUACCUUAGGGAUAACAGCGUAAUUUUUUUGAAGAGUUCAUAUCGAUAAAAAAGAUUGCGACCUCGAUGUUGGAUUAAGAUAUAAUUUUGGGUGCAGCAAUUCAAUAAUUAAGUCUGUUCGACUUUUAAUUUCUUACAUG